AUUGAACGCUGGCGGCAGGCUUAACACAUGCAAGUCGAGCGGUAACAGAGAGAAGCUUGCUUCUCUGCUGACGAGCGGCGGACGGGUGAGUAAUGCCUAGGAAUCUGCCUAGUAGUGGGGGAUAACUUGCCGAAAGGUAAGCUAAUACCGCAUACGUCCUACGGGAGAAAGCAGGGGACUUUUCGGAGCCUUGCGCUAUUAGAUGAGCCUAGGUCGGAUUAGUUAGUUGGUGAGGUAAUGGCUCACCAAGACCGCGAUCCGUAACUGGUCUGAGAGGAUGAUCAGUCACACUGGAACUGAGACACGGUCCAGACUCCUACGGGAGGCAGCAGUGGGGAAUAUUGGACAAUGGGGGAAACCCUGAUCCAGCCAUGCCGCGUGUGUGAAGAAGGUCUUAGGAUUGUAAAGCACUUUAAGUUGGGAGGAAGGGCAGUUAACUAAUAUUUGACUGUUUUGACGUUAC
RNAcentral lists this ribosomal RNA (463 nucleotides) under uncultured bacterium. RNAcentral describes it as "SSU rRNA". It matches the Rfam family "Bacterial small subunit ribosomal RNA", at positions 30 to 478 of the family's 1533-position model. The record is from RNAcentral.